RNAcentral lists this ribosomal RNA (459 nucleotides) under uncultured bacterium. RNAcentral's name for it is "partial 16S ribosomal RNA". It matches the Rfam family "Bacterial small subunit ribosomal RNA", at positions 338 to 795 of the family's 1533-position model. The record is from RNAcentral.
CCUACGGGAGGCAGCAGUGAGGAAUAUUGGUCAAUGGUCGGGAGACUGAACCAGCCAAGCCGCGUGAGGGAGGAAGGUACAGAGUAUCGUAAACCUCUUUUGUCAGGGAACAAAGGCGGGGACGUGUCCCCGGAUGAGUGUACCUGAAGAAAAAGCAUCGGCUAACUCCGUGCCAGCAGCCGCGGUAGUACGGAGGAUGCGAGCGUUAUCGGGAUUUAUUGGGUUUAAAGGGUGCGCAGGCGGUCUGUUAAGUUAGCGGUAAAAGCCCGGGGCUCAACCCCGGCCCGCCGUUGAAACUGGCAGUCUCGAGUUGGAGAGAGGUAUGCGGAAUGCGCGGUGUAGCGGUGAAAUGCAUAGAUAUCGCGCAGAACUCCGAUUGCGAAGGCAGCAUGCCGGCUCCACACUGACGCUGAGGCACGAAAGCGUGGGUAUCGAACAGGAUUAGAUACCCCGGUAGUC